RNAcentral lists this transfer RNA (69 nucleotides) under Rhacophorus poecilonotus. Its description in RNAcentral is "tRNA-Asp". It matches the Rfam family "tRNA". From Rfam's summary of the family: Transfer RNA (tRNA) molecules are approximately 80 nucleotides in length. The record is from RNAcentral. Lineage: Eukaryota; Metazoa; Chordata; Amphibia; Anura; Rhacophoridae.
AGGAGUUAAUUAAAUUAUAAUAUUUCCUUGUCAAGGCAAAAUUGCAAGUUGAACCCUUGUACCCCUCUA